AGGACGAACGCUGGCGGCGCGCUUAACACAUGCAAGUCGAACGUGAAGCUGGAGCUUGCUCCGGUGGAAAGUGGCGAACGGGUGCGUAACACGUGAGCAACCUGCCCCGAAGACUGGGAUAACACCGGGAAACCGGUGCUAAUACCGGAUACCUUCUUCCGAUCGCAUGGUUGGAUGAAGAAAUGGAUUCCGCUUCGGGAUGGGCUCGCGGCCUAUCAGCUUGUUGGUGAGGUAACGGCCCACCAAGGCGACGACGGGUAGCUGGUCUGAGAGGACGACCAGCCACACUGGGACUGAGACACGGCCCAGACUCCUACGGGAGGCAGCAGUGGGGAAUCUUGCUCAAUGGGCGAAAGCCUGAAGCAGCGACGCCGCGUGCGGGAUGAAGGCCUUCGGGUUGUAACCGCUUUCAGCAGGGACGAAAUUGACGGUACCUGCAGAAGAAGGCCCGGCCAACUACGUGCCAGCAGCCGC
This 474-nucleotide ribosomal RNA is filed under the name uncultured bacterium. RNAcentral describes it as "SSU rRNA". It matches the Rfam family "Bacterial small subunit ribosomal RNA", at positions 26 to 518 of the family's 1533-position model. The record is from RNAcentral.